RNAcentral lists this ribosomal RNA (432 nucleotides) under uncultured bacterium. Its description in RNAcentral is "partial 16S ribosomal RNA". It matches the Rfam family "Bacterial small subunit ribosomal RNA", at positions 29 to 507 of the family's 1533-position model. The record is from RNAcentral.
AUGAACGCUGGCGGCCUGCCUCACCCAUGCAAGUCGAACGAAGGCUUCGGCCUUAGUGGCGCACGGGUGCGUCACGCGUGGGAAUCUGCCCUUGGGUUCGGAAUAACAGUUAGAAAUGACUGCUAAUACCGGAUGAUGUCGUAAGACCAAAGAUUUAUCGCCCAAGGAUGAGCCCGCGUAGGAUUAGCUAGUUGGUGGGGUAAAGGCCUACCAAGGCGACGAUCCUUAGCUGGUCUGAGAGGAUGAUCAGCCACACUGGGACUGAGACACGGCCCAGACUCCUACGGGAGGCAGCAGUGGGGAAUAUUGGACAAUGGGCGAAAGCCUGAUCCAGCAAUGCCGCGUGAGUGAUGAAGGCCUUAGGGUUGUAAAGCUCUUUUACCCGGGAUGAUAAUGACAGUACCGGGAGAAUAAGCUCCGGCUAACUUCGUG